This 483-nucleotide ribosomal RNA is filed under the name uncultured bacterium. Its description in RNAcentral is "partial 16S ribosomal RNA". It matches the Rfam family "Bacterial small subunit ribosomal RNA", at positions 30 to 506 of the family's 1533-position model. The record is from RNAcentral.
AUUGAACGCUGGCGGCAGGCCUAACACAUGCAAGUCGAGCGGAUGAAGGGAGCUUGCUCCUGGAUUCAGCGGCGGACGGGUGAGUAAUGCCUAGGAAUCUGCCUGGUAGUGGGGGAUAACGUCCGGAAACGGGCGCUAAUACCGCAUACGUCCUGAGGGUGAAAGUGGGGGAUCUUCGGACCUCACGCUAUCAGAUGAGCCUAGGUCGGAUUAGCUAGUUGGUGGGGUAAAGGCCUACCAAGGCGACGAUCCGUAACUGGUCUGAGAGGAUGAUCAGUCACACUGGAACUGAGACACGGUCCAGACUCCUACGGGAGGCAGCAGUGGGGAAUAUUGGACAAUGGGCGAAAGCCUGAUCCAGCCAUGCCGCGGGUGUGAAGAAGGUCUUCGGAUUGUAAAGCACUUUAAGUUGGGAGGAAGGGCAGUAAGUUAAGACCUUGCUGUUUUGACGUUACCAACAGAAUAAGCACCGGCUAACUGCGU